UAUGGAGAGAUUCUAGCAUGUCCACGUCCUUAAAAAAAUCAUCCAAUCAGGAGAUUUAAAUAUGCCACAUCAUCUUUACUUAGCCAAUUUUUUAAAAAAUACGGGCCUCCUGCGUUUGGGCUCUUAAAUCUUCCGAAAUCAACUUUUCGGACCUCAUAUCCGACCCAGGUUAAAAACAGUUGACAUACCCUAAUCUUCUAAAAUCGUCAUAGAAUAAACCAUCUUCUUUCAUCUUCUUCCAAUCUUCGUUACACAUCCUCUAUGCAAUCAAUCGUUUGCUUUAAUUCCCUCUUAAUGAUUUCCUUUGGCCUCCUCUCUUUCUCAUUCUUUAUAAACUCUUUCUUUUUAGCUUUUUUAGCUUGCUAAGAAUCAAAACCCGAAAAGCUCAUCUCAAUAAGCGCAAGCCAUGGCAAAACCCAACCGAUAGUCACCUAUUCAACCAGAAAUCUCCUCUCCUCUCGCUUUGUAUUUCACAUCUCACCCGAAAAACGCAGAAAAAGUAUGGAACUUUAUUGGACUUGAAAUGGUCAUCAUGGACGAACAGGCGGAGGAUUUGCUGAUGCAUAAAUGAUUUACAAUAUUUUUGAAGUUAAUGACAUUGGAAAGACAUGCUUCGUACUAUAUAGCUUAUGCUUUUCACAUGGAGUUCAAAUCUGAGGUGGAAAACACCACUGAGAUCUUCAGUCUCAGAAUAUCUAGAAAGGCAGAGUCUAUGGAAAGUUGAAUGAUUCUUACGAAAAAUUCAUGCGCAUUCGAGGGACCUUCUCCUAUCUACACUGAAACUACAUGACUGGAGGAGAGCGCAGAGGAGAGGAUAAAAGAAAAAAAAAUCUUUACCUAGAAAAUGGACACAUUAAAGGUUUCUACUCUUUGCUUACUCUUUUGAAGGUUUUGGUAGACAAAGAAGAAUUUAUAGCACUGGGAAUAAGAACUAAACCAUCUCAUAAUUAUCAACUGCUCUGCUGCUUAAUGAUGGCUGUGAGACUAAGAAGUAGGAGUAUGAUUCAUUCACGAAAACAAUCAUGAAGUGUUUAUUUAUCAGCUUCGUACAAUGAACAUCCUCCACUAAAUUCCAUAAAAUCUAGAAAUCAAUAAAAUCAAUGAGGAGAAAAAAACAUCAAUGGACAAUGGUUGCUGAGUAUUCUGCGGAAGCCAUCUUAAGAAGGGUCCAUGCUCUACAAAACGAUGAUUUUAUGCCUCCAAUUGAAGCCAUCCUUGCUCCAUUAGAAGCUGAGCUUAAGCUUGCACGAUAAGAGGUUGGGAAGGUUAAAGAAGAUAAGAUGGUUUUGAAUCGUAUAACUUAAUCAAAAUAAGCUGCCUUACUUAAUGCUGAGAGGACUAUUGGAUGUGCCCUGGCAAAAAGCAGUGAUGAUUGAUGAUGUUAAAAAUAGAUGUCAUGAGUUAAUGAAACAAAAACAAAUCUGACAGGUUCUGUAGUUAUCUUAAUUCUUUGUAUGUAUUCUCAACACGCUAGAGAUAGGAAAUCUCCCAGUACAACUAUAUUAUGACGAUCAAAGACAAAAGUUUGAAAGCUGUUCUAUUGUACUUGCCAUUACCAAUA
Brassica napus (rape) is the source of this 1561-nucleotide long non-coding RNA. RefSeq lists it as uncharacterized. The record is from RefSeq and is a predicted model, not a curated record. The transcript is spliced from 7 exons. NCBI's taxonomy places the organism in Eukaryota, Viridiplantae, Streptophyta, Magnoliopsida, Brassicales, Brassicaceae.